GACGAACGCUGGCGGCGUGCUUAACACAUGCAAGUCGAACGAUGAAGCCCUUCGGGUGGGAUUAGUGGCGAACGGGUGAGUAACACGUGGGCAAUCUGCCCUUCACUCUGGGACAAGCCCUGGAAACGGGUCGUAUACCGGACUAACACUCCUCAGGGCGAUCUUUGAGGGGUUAAAAGGACUCCGGCGGUGAAGGAUGAGCCCG
This 205-nucleotide ribosomal RNA is filed under the name uncultured bacterium. RNAcentral describes it as "partial 16S ribosomal RNA". It matches the Rfam family "Bacterial small subunit ribosomal RNA", at positions 28 to 233 of the family's 1533-position model. The record is from RNAcentral.